This 32-nucleotide small RNA is filed under the name Bombyx mori (domestic silkworm). RNAcentral's name for it is "ovarian small RNA-14513". Lineage: Eukaryota; Metazoa; Arthropoda; Insecta; Lepidoptera; Bombycidae. The record is from RNAcentral.
CGGGGUUCGAUUCCCCGCCGGAGAGAUUCUUA